This is a long non-coding RNA of Acinonyx jubatus (cheetah), 5502 nucleotides long. RefSeq lists it as uncharacterized. The record is from RefSeq and is a predicted model, not a curated record. The transcript has 5 exons. Lineage: Eukaryota; Metazoa; Chordata; Mammalia; Carnivora; Felidae.
AUUAUCUGUUAAAAGAAAAGCAAAUUAUUCAUUUUAAAAAUGUUAUUUUUUGUUGAAGUAUAAUUGAUAUAAAGUAUCCUGUUAUUUUCAGGUAUAUAACAUAGGGAUUUGAUAUUUUUAUACAUUAUGAAAUGAUCCCCACAAGAGGUCUAGUUGCCAUCUGUCAUCACACAAAAUUAUUACGUUAUAGACUAUAUUCCUUGUGCUGUACUUUUCAUGUCUGUGAUUUAUGGAUUGUAUAACUGGAAGUUUGUACCACUUAAUCCCCUUCAUCUAUUUUGCCCAUCCCCCAACACAGCUCCCCUCCGGCAACUGCCAGUUUGGUCUCUAUUUUUAAUAGUCUGGGGUUUUGUUUGUUCAUUUGUUUUGCUUUUUAAAGAGUCCACAUAGAAGUGAAACCACACGGUAUUGGUCUUUCUCUGACUUAUUUCACUAGCAUAAUACCCCCUAGGACCAUCUAUGUUGUUGUAAAUGUAAAGACUUCAUUCUUUUUAAUGGCUGAGUAUAUUCCAUUGUCUUUAUACACACCACAUCUUCCUUAUACAUUCAUUUCUUGAUGGAUACUUAAGUUGCUUUCAUUUCGUGGCUAUUAUAAAUAAUGCUGCAGUGAACACAGGGGUACAUACAUCUCUUAAAAUUGGUAUUUGCAAAUUACUCAUUUUAAAAGCCAAAGUGCAUCAUUAGUAGUCUGGCAUGAGUUGCCCAUCUCUUCACUAAAAAAGAUAAACUAUGAUUUUUGUGUCCCAGAUUAUAUCAUGUAUAAGGAAAAACUGGAUUUGUCCUAACUACUAAUCUCAGCUAUCCAAAAAGGCAAAUAAUUUGUUAAUAAAUUAACAUCUGUACUCAAGCAUCCCCCAAUUUACUUAUAGAUCUUCUCUUGGCCACCAGGCUUUCAUGACAUCUUCAGGUUUGAUCUAAUUAAGUCAAACACAUUAAGGGAGCAUGGCUACAGAUGUUAAUGUAUUUUAUUAAAUUUAUUUUUCAUGUUUUAUUUUUUGUCUUUUUUGAGAGACAAAGAGAGACAGAGUGCAAGCAGGGGAGGGGAAGAGAGAGAGGGAGACACAGAAUCUGAAGCAGGCUCCAGAGCUGUCCGCACAGAGCCUGAUGCGGGACUUGAACCCAUGAAUGUGAGAUCAUGACCUGAGCUGAAGUCAGACACUAAACCGAAUGAGCCACCCAAGCGCCCAGAUGUUAAUGUAUUUUUAAAGUCAUCUGCUGAUGAAAUGGGAAGAGAGCGUGAGUGGAGGAGGGGAAGAGAGAGACGGGGAGACACAGAAUCUGAAGCAGGCUCCAAGCUCUGUGCUGUCAGCACAGAGUCCGACGUGGGGCUCCAAGUCACAAACUAUGAGAUCAUGACCUGAGUGGAAGUUGGACGCUUAACCGACUGAGCCACCCAGGUGCCCCUGCAAUGAACUUUUUUUUUCCACUCUGGAAAUGUCCUAUGAAAUCUGAUACCUGCAAUGAUGCGGCAGAAGAACAUCUGUGAUUCUCUUGGCAACAGGUAUAAGCAAGUACUGCUAAAGCUAAUAUGAUUUGUUGCUGAUGUUUAUAAUGGAAGGAAAUGCUAAAUUUCAGUUGGAGGAGGAUCCCGUCUAUUUUCCUGCGAGCUCUUGGCAUCUUUCUGAAACCCGCAGAAGUCACCGUGUUUUGCCUCUGUUACACUGUCAAGCUCCCUGGGGUUGAAAUCGAUGUUUAAUUCAUCUUUUGUUUCCCAAGGCACCUGGCACUCUGCGACCAUUUGCUAUUGAGAAGUCAUGCACCAAGUCAUGAGAACACUCAAGCAGCCUGUGGAGAAGCCUAUGGGAAGAAACUGGGCCUCCCACGAACUUCUGGCACCACCAUGCCAGCCUUGUCACUGCACCACCUUGGAACCAAAUCUUCCAGCUCCAGUCGAUUCUGAUGACUGUAACCCUGGUGACAUCUUGACCAUAGCCUCAUGCUGUGCCCUGGGCCAGAAGCGCUCAGCUCAGCAGUGCCUGAAUUUGUGACCUGCACAAACAGUGAGUUUGAUGAAUCUUCAUUGCUGUUUAAUUUUGCGGUUUUUUGAAAUACAGCUCACAUCCAUACAGUGAUUUUUAGUAUAUUCAUUGUUACACAACUGUUUCCGCUAUCUUAUUCUAGAACAUUUCUGUUACCUCAAAGUGCUACCCCAUACCUUUUAACAAUCACUCUUAGUUCCCUCACUCUAGUGCAUCACCUGACAACAACUAAUCUAUUAUCUGACUCUAAGGAUUUCCCUGUUGUGGGCAUUUGCUAUAAAUAGAAUCUUAUGAUGUGCAAUCUUUUGUGAAUGACUUCUUUCGCAUAUAUAUCAUAAAGUUUCCAAGGUUGAUCCAUGUUGCAGCACGAGUCAAUCAUUCAUUCCUUUUUUUGUUAAUGCUUAUUUAUUUUUGAUAGAGAGGGAGAACGUGAACAGGGGAGGGCAGAGGGAGAUACAGAAUCCAAAGCAGGCUCCAGGCUCUGAGCUGUCCGCAUAGAGCCCGACGUGUGGCUUGAACUCACGAACUGUGAGAUCAUAACCUGAGCUAAGUCGGAUACUCAACCUACUGAGCCGCCCAGCUGCCCCCAUUCAUUCCUUUUUUAAAAAAGACUUUUUGUUAGAGUAGUUCUAGGUUUAAUAUGAAAUUGAGAGGAAGGUACAGAGAUUGCCCAUACGCCCCCUGUCCCCACACAUGCAUAGUCUCCCUCAUUAUCAAUGUUGCUCACCAGAAUGGUACAUUUUUUGGUGAGGAUGAACCUGUAUCGACUCGUCGUUAAUCACCCAAAGUCCAUAGUUCACCUUAGGGUAUAUGCUUGGUGUUGUACAAUCUGUGGGUUUGGGCAAAUGAAUGACAUAUAUCUAUCAUUAUAAUAUCGUGCAGAGUACUUUUGGUACUCUAAAAAUCCUCUUUGCUCUGCCUUCACUCCUUUUUAUAGGUGAAUAAUAUUCCAUAGUAAAGCUAAUUUGUUUAUCCAUUCUUCAGCUGAUGGACAUUUGGGUUGUUUCCACUUUUGGCCUAUUGUGAAUAAUGCUGCCAUGAACAUUUGAGGAUAAGUUUUUGUGUGGACAUAUUUUUCAGUUGUCUUGGUGUGUGUCUAUACUGGAAUUGCUGGACCGUAUGGUAACUCUGUUUGGCUUUUUUAAGGACCUGUUACAGUGCUUUCCGCAGCAGCAUCCCCAUCACAUGCUAGUAAUGUACAAGGAUUCUGAUUUCCCCAAAUCCUUGCCAACACUUGUUAUUGUCCGUGUGCAUGAUUAUAGCCAUCCUGUUGUGUGUGAAGUGGUAUCUCAUUGUGGUUUUGAUUUGCAUUUGCCUAAUGACUUAAUGAGGUCAAGCAUCUUUUCAUGUGCAUUUUGGCCAUUUGUGUAUCUUUUUUGGAGAAAUGCCCAUUGUUUAUUUGGGUUGUCUUUUGUUUAUAGACUUUUAAGAGUUCUUUGUUUAUUCUAGGUACUACAACGUUAUCAGAUACAAUUUACAAAUAGUUUUUCUUAUUUUGUGGUUUGUCUUCCCUUUUUGAUACUAUUAUUGGACAUAAAAUUUUAAAAAUUUUGAUAAUUUCCGGUUCAAUUACUUUUACUUUGGUUGCUUAUGCUGUCAGUGUCAUACUGAAGAAACUGACGUGAACGCAAGGUUGCAGUAUGGCAGAGAAGGAGAGAAAAGUGGGGGCACAGAGGGUAGUGGGAAGUCAUGUUGGGGUAAGGUGAGGGAAGGCAGUAUCCCUUUGUCCCAUCCUUGUAGGAGUUUUCAGGGUGCAUGGAGACCCCUCACAUAUGUGACUGCCUUCAUAUAUCUCUCAGCGAAAACGUCCAUAUCGGAAUAUCCCUGUUGUGAUGUUGUCUCUGCACUUUCAAGACUCAGUGUUUAGCCUUUUGGGUUCUCUCAGAGGGACUGUUUUCUAAAUUUAAAGGCCCAUUAAAAAGUCUCAGUAUUUUCUGGUUGUUGAGUUCACCGCAGCUUCAGGGAUCUACUCAUCUGGCUGGCCAUUGUAGGCAGUGCUUUGUUUUGGUGAACGCUAGCUUCUCACCUUUAUGUUCCUUUUGCAGUUUGUAUAGCAUCACGUCAGUCCUGCAGGCUCUGUGGGUUCCUCGCCAGGCCAGGAAGCCUGAGCCCAAGUUUGGGCACAUGGCAGUGAAGGUGCCUUGAAGUGACCUGUCUUCAUGUGGGCCCCUGGCCCAAGCUCUUGAGUUUUCAGAAGCUUUUGACAGAUUGAUCCCACAGGAUUUUUAAUUCCUUCCACUUGGAGGCUAAGGCCAUAAUAUGCUGUUGGGAAAAUGUAGGUGAUAUCCUGUAGGCCGAAAUGGGAUGCUCUUAUUUGAGCAACACAGUUGUGAAGUUCCUUUUUCUCAGAUGAGGUGACUUUUUCUAAGGUUAUCUAUUCAAAUUUGCACAGAGCUUUCCAAGUGUUUCUUUUUUGAGAUACUUUUUUGAUAUUGUUGUCCUACAGUUGUUGGAGGAAAAGUAGAAACUUUUCCAAAACACGGGCUUUCUUCUAGAAUAGGUCUUUGUCAAAAGUUUGUUGAGUAUCGUUUGACAAGUGUAAAGAGAAAGUAACUUUUUUCUCUCCUACUUAUGCAUGAAAAGUCCCUUGGGGAUAUGUUCUUCCCUAGUCUGGGAGGAAAUUUCCAGAAGGUCCGAUAGCCAACUGUUAACUCUUAAAUAAGCAACCAUCCUGUGAUCACUUCCAAGCAGCUAGAAGCACAGUGUACUAUAACAGUCAAAAUGCUAUGUUCCUGAAUACUGGGAAUUUCUGUCUAAACCAACUGGAGCCUUCAUGGAUUUUGUCAUCCUGCCGGUGAUGUGUGCAUAUGUGUUAAUAGGAUAGAUAUAGUACUUCUUGUUGCCUUUCCUCUCUUCAUCUGCUCCCUCUACUCCUUGAUCACCAUUCCGGAUGUGAUCUCCAGGGAGAGAGGUGUGUGGAGAAGACCACAUCUUGGCCUGGUCUGUAAAGUUGUAAUGUGGUUUGGGGGCUGUGAACAGUGAAGUCCUGAGCUGACACCAUCGUGGACACAUUUCGAGCUUCCUAAAGGGACCUGAGACUGCUGGCUCCUGCCUCAUCAGGUGCCUUUCCUCUAACUGGCCACGAAAUAACCCACAUUUCUGUUGGGGUCACUACUUCUCUGGCUUCUCUACCUUGGUGCCUUCCCUUUAAGACAACCGGGUAUACUCACUUUUAUAGGGUUCUCAUGUCGACCUUGGAAGUCACAGUCCUGUGAAUGUGGACGAACUGUAGUUUGCAUUCAGUCCAGCCCUCUUAUCAUAUCUUCUAGCCAGACAUCUCCAGCCCUUGACUCCUGACCUGCUUGCACGAGUCGGACAUUAGUUCUGGUAUCUGGCUAACUGAAGAAGACAUGAGUCCAGCUUUCUCAAGCUUGCUUUUAUUUGCUUUUAUUUGAUUAAGGUCAGGAGGAAGUGAUCUUUGUUUGGUCCUUAUGAGAGUGGAGAAAAUGCUUACUAUUAUCGCUUUCUCAGGGUACACGUACUGACUUCGGAAAACCACAGGCUUUUCCUCCACAGGUCUUCC